RNAcentral lists this ribosomal RNA (1344 nucleotides) under metagenome. RNAcentral describes it as "bacterial LSU rRNA". It matches the Rfam family "Bacterial large subunit ribosomal RNA", at positions 1562 to 2912 of the family's 2925-position model. The record is from RNAcentral.
CGCGAUGGCGGGCCUACGGGCCACAAGUGAAUGAGUCCGGCUGCCAAGAAAAGCUUCUAAGUGAUGAACGUCAGGUGACCGUACCGCAAACCGACACUGGUAGACGGGUAGAGAAUACCAAGGCGAACGGGAGAACCCUCGUUAAGGAACUAGGCAAAAUGGCCCCGUAACUUCGGGAGAAGGGGCGCCUACCGCAAGGUAGGCCGCAGUGAAAUGGCUCUGCCGACUGUUUAACAAAAGCACAGGUCUCUGCAAACGCGAAAGCGGACGUAUAGGGGCUGACACCUGCCCAGUGCCGGAAAGUUAAAGGGAAGGGUUAGGUUUUCGGACCGAAGCUCAGAACUGAAGCCCCGGUGAACGGCGGCCGUAACUAUAACGGUCCUAAGGUAGCGAAAUUCCUUGUCGGGUAAGUUCCGACCCGCACGAAUGGUGUAACGAGUGGAGCGCUGUCUCAACGAGGGACCCGGCGAAAUUGAAAUACGUGUAAAGAUGCGCGUUACCCGCAGCAGGACAAAAAGACCCCGUGGAGCUUUACUACACCUUGUUAUUGCGUUAGGGCUUGGCUUGUGCAGCAUAGCUGGGAGCCUGGGAAGCUGGGACGUUAGUCUCGGUGGAGGCAUUCUUGAGAUACCAGCCUGGUGAAGCUUUAGCCCUAACCGCUGGCCGUAAACCGGCAGCGGGACAGUGGCAGGCGGGUAGUUUGACUGGGGCGGUCGCCUCCGAAAGAGUAACGGAGGCGCCCAAAGGUUCCCUCAGGAUGAAUGGAAACCAUCCGAAGAGUGUAAAGGCACAAGGGAGCUUGACUGCAAGGCAGACACGCCGAGCAGGGCCGAAAGGCGGGCUUAGUGAUCCCACGGUACCGAGUGGAAGGGCCGUGGCUUACCGGAUAAAAGCUACCCCGGGGAUAACAGGCUAGUCUGGUCCAAGAGUUCACAUCGACGACCAGGCUCGGCACCUCGAUGUCGGCUCAUCGCAUCCUGGGGCUGGAUCAGGUCCCAAGGGUUGGGCUGUUUCGCCCAUUAAAGCGGUACGUGAGCUGGGUUCAGACCGUCGUGAGACAGGUCGGUCUCUAUCCGCUGUGGGCGUAAGGAGGUUGAGAGGAGCUGUCCCUAGUACGAGAGGACCGGGAUGGACGAAGCGCUCGUGUGCCGGUUGUCACGCCAGUGGCAUCGCCGGGUAGCGACCUUCGGAGCAGAUAACCGCUGAAAGCAUCUAAGCGGGAAGCUGGCCUCAAGAUGAGCCUCCUCACCGGAUAACCGGGUAAGACCGCUGGUAGACUACCAGCUCGAUAGGCCGGAUGUGGAAGCGUUGUAAGACGUGUAGCAAACCGGUACUAAUGGUCGA